AAAAUUCUAUGUAAAAUAAUUGAUGAAUAAAUAAAUUUUUUAUGGUUUGAAAAAUUUAUUUUAAGUUUAUUUUACAUAUAAAUUUUAGUGUUAUUUAUUAAUUAUUUUAAUAAUAUUUAAUUAUUUUUGUAGUAAUUAACUUUAAAAAUUUAAGAAAUUAAGAUUUAGUAAUAUAAAAAUUAAUAACUAAUUUUGUGCCAGCAGUUGCGGUUAUACAAAAGUUAAUUUAAAUUUUUUUAGUGAUUAAUAAAUAAUUUAGAGAUUAUAAUUUAAAAUUUAAAUUAUAAAGUGAAAUUUUAAUUUAAUAAAAAAUUAUUAAAUAAUUAUGAAUUAAUAAAUUUUAUAAAAAACUAGGAUUAGAUACCCUAUUAUUAAAAAUUUAAAUUAAUAAUACUUAAAUAGUAAAUGAUUAUUUAUUGAAACUUAAAUAAUUUGGCGGUAUUUUAGUUUAUUUAGAGGAAUCUGUUAAGUAAUUGAUAUUCCACGAAUAAAUUUACUUAAUUUAUAUUUUGUAUAUCGUUGUUAAAAAAAUAUUUUUUAAUAAAAAUAAUAUUUAAAAAUUUUAAUAAAAAAUUAAAUCAGAUCAAGAUGCAGAUUAUAAUUAAGAUUAUAAUGGAUUACAAUAAAUUUAUUUAUUUGGAUUUUAUUAUGAAAUGAAUAAAUAAAAUUGGAUUUAAAUGUAAUUUUAUUUAAAUUAAUAAAAUGAUUAAAUAUUAAAAUAUGUACAUAUUGCCCGUCGCUUUCAUUCAUAAAUUGAAAUAAGUCGUAACAAAGUAGAGGUACUGGAAAGUGUUUCUAGAAAGAA
RNAcentral lists this non-coding RNA (805 nucleotides) under Cypoides chinensis. The record is from RNAcentral. Lineage: Eukaryota; Metazoa; Arthropoda; Insecta; Lepidoptera; Sphingidae.